UGGGGAAUUUUUGACAAUGGGCGAAAGCCUGAUCGAGCAAUGCCGCGUGAGUGAUGAAGGCCUUAGGGUUGUAAAGCUCUUUUAGUAGGGAAGAUUAUGACGGUACCUACAGAAAAAGUCCCGGCUAACUUCGUGCCAGCAGCCGCGGUAAUACGAAGGGGGCUAGCGUUACUCGGAAUUACUGGGCGUAAAGCGUGCGUAGGCUGUUUUGUAAGUUGGUAGUUAAAUUCUCGAGCUCAACUCGAGGCCUGCUAGCAAGACUGCAAGACUAGAGUACUGGAGAAGAUAGUGGAAUUCCUAGUGUAGAGGUGAAAUUCAUAGAUAUUAGGAGGAACACCAGAGGCGAAAGCGACUAUCUGGCCAGAAACUGACGCUGUUGCACGAAAGCGUGGGGAGCAAACAGG
RNAcentral lists this ribosomal RNA (404 nucleotides) under uncultured bacterium. RNAcentral's name for it is "bacterial SSU rRNA". It matches the Rfam family "Bacterial small subunit ribosomal RNA", at positions 355 to 776 of the family's 1533-position model. The record is from RNAcentral.